Molecule: transfer RNA, 64 nt
Filed under: Philanthus triangulum (European beewolf)
Lineage: Eukaryota; Metazoa; Arthropoda; Insecta; Hymenoptera; Crabronidae
Description: tRNA-Ala
Source: RNAcentral
AGGAUAUUAGUUAAAUUUUAUAACAUUUAAUUUGCAAUUAAAAAUUAAUUAAAAUUAUAUCUUA